This 393-nucleotide ribosomal RNA is filed under the name uncultured bacterium. RNAcentral's name for it is "bacterial SSU rRNA". It matches the Rfam family "Bacterial small subunit ribosomal RNA", at positions 29 to 421 of the family's 1533-position model. The record is from RNAcentral.
AUUGAACGCUGGCGGUAGGCCUAACACAUGCAAGUCGAACGCGAAAGUCCUUCGGGAUGAGUAGAGUGGCGGACGGGUGAGUAACGCGUAGGAAUCUAUCCUGUAGUGGGGGAGUAACGUUUCGAAAGGAACGCUAAUACCGCAUACGCCCCAACGGGGGAAAGGCGGGGGAGUCUUCGGACCUCGUGCUAUAGGAGGAGCCUGCGUCGGAUUAGCUAGUUGGUGAGGUAAAGGCUCACCAAGGCGACGAUCCGUAGCUGGUCUGAGAGGAUGAUCAGCCACACCGGAACUGAGACACGGUCCGGACUCCUACGGGAGGCAGCAGUGGGGAAUAUUGCGCAAUGGGGCGAAAGCCUGACGCAGCCAUACCGCGUGUGUGAAGAAGGCCUUCGG